UCCCCCGUAGCGCAAUCGGAUAGCGCACCGGACUUCUAAUCCGGCCGUUGCGGGUUCGAGCCCCGCCGGGGGAGCCA
RNAcentral lists this transfer RNA (77 nucleotides) under Chloroflexota bacterium. RNAcentral's name for it is "Chloroflexi bacterium tRNA-Arg". It matches the Rfam family "tRNA". From Rfam's summary of the family: Transfer RNA (tRNA) molecules are approximately 80 nucleotides in length. Their secondary structure includes four short double-helical elements and three loops (D, anti-codon, and T loops). Lineage: Bacteria; Bacillati; Chloroflexota. The record is from RNAcentral.